Molecule: ribosomal RNA, 460 nt
Filed under: uncultured bacterium
Lineage: Bacteria
Description: partial 16S ribosomal RNA
Rfam family: Bacterial small subunit ribosomal RNA
Source: RNAcentral
CCUACGGGUGGCAGCAGUGAGGAAUAUUGCUCAAUGGACGAGAGUCUGAACCAGCCAUGUAGCGUGUAUGAUGACUGCCCUAUGGGUUGUACACUUCUUUUAUAAAGGGAUAAAACGUGGCACGUGUGCCUUUUUGCAUGUACUUUAUGAAUAAGGAUCGGCUAACGCCGCGCCAGCAGCCGCGGUAAUACGGAGGAUCCGAGGGUUAUCCGGAUUUAUUUGGUUUAAAGGGAGCGUAGGUGGGUUGUUAAGUCAGUUGUGAAAGUCUGCGGCUCAACCGUAAAAUUGCAAUUGAUACUGGCAGGCUUGAGUAUAGUUGAGGUAGGCAGAAUUCGUGGUGUAGCGGUGAAAUGCUUAGAUAUCACGAAGAACCCCGAUUGCGAAGGCAGCUUACUAAACUGUGACUGACAUUGAUGCUCGAAAGUGUGGGGAUCAAACAGGAUUAGAUACCCGGGUAGUC